UUAACAAAAACAUGUCCUUUUGAUUUUUAUUUAAGGUCUAAUCUGCUCAAUGAUAUUUAAAUUGCCGCAGUAUUUUAACUGUGCGAAGGUAGCAUAAUAAUUAGUUUCUUAAUUAGGAGCUGGAAUGAAUGAUUGGACGAGAAAAUUUCUGUCUCAUUUUAAUGUUUUAUUGAAUUUUAUUUUUAAGUUAAAAAGCUUAAAUUUCUAUGAAAGACGAGAAGACCCUAUAGAGUUUAAUAUUAAAAAUUAAUUAUAUUUUAGAAACCAAUUUUAUUUUUUAGUAUUUAGUUGGGGUUACUUGGAGAUUUAUUAAAUUCUCUAAAUUUUUAAUUGAUGAUAUUUAAUUUUUAAAUCUGUAAAUUAUAAAUUUAAAAUUAAUUACCUUAGGGAUAACAGCGUAAUUUUUCUUAAAAGUUCUUAUUUAAAGAAGAUUUUGCGACCUCGAUGUUGGAUUAAAAUAAAUUUUUGGUGCAGUUACUUAAAAAUUAGGUCUGUUCGACCUUUAAAAUUUUACAUGAUCUGAGUUUAAACCGGUGUAAGCCAGGUUGGAUUCUAUCUUUAGAAAAUUAAUACAUUUUAGUACGAAAGGACCAAGUGUUUAUUAUAUAUUAAUUG
RNAcentral lists this ribosomal RNA (615 nucleotides) under Macrolycus bocakorum. Its description in RNAcentral is "partial 16S large subunit ribosomal RNA". The stretch from base 389 to 547 matches the Rfam family "Bacterial large subunit ribosomal RNA", at positions 2473 to 2632 of the family's 2925-position model. The record is from RNAcentral. Lineage: Eukaryota; Metazoa; Arthropoda; Insecta; Coleoptera; Lycidae.